This 746-nucleotide ribosomal RNA is filed under the name uncultured archaeon. RNAcentral's name for it is "bacterial SSU rRNA". It matches the Rfam family "Archaeal small subunit ribosomal RNA", at positions 130 to 859 of the family's 1478-position model. The record is from RNAcentral.
CCCCGGGAAACUGGGGCUAAUUCUCGAUAGGUGAAGAACUCUGGAAUGAGUCUUUGCCAAAAAGACGUUUACGUUAUGCUCGUAGGCGUCGCCCAAGGAUGAGGCCGCGACCGAUCAGGUUGUUGGUGAGGUAAUGGCUCACCAAGCCUUUUACCGGUGCGGGCCGUGAGAGCGGGAGCCCGGAGAUGGGCACUGAGACAAGGGCCCAGGCCCUACGGGGCGCAGCAGUCGCGAAAACUUUGCAAUACACGAAAGUGUGACAGGGCUAUCCCGAGUGCCAUCCGCUGAGGAAGGCUUUUACCCAGUCUAGAACGCUGGGGGAAUAAGGAGAGGGCAAGUCUGGUGUCAGCCGCCGCGGUAAUACCAGCUCUCCGAGUGGUGUGGAUGUUUAUUGGGCUUAAAGCAUCCGUAGCUGGCUGAGUUAGUCCCUUGUUAAAUCCACCGAAUUAAUCGUUGGAUUGCGGGGGAUACUGCUCGGCUAGGGGACGAGAGAGGCAGACGGUAUUUCUGGGGUAGGGGUGAAAUCCUAUAAUCCCAGGAGGACCACCAGUGGCGAAGGCUGUCUGCUAGAACGCGCCCGACGGUGAGGGAUGAAAGCUGGGGGAGCGAACCGGAUUAGAUACCCGGGUAGUCCCAGCUGUAAACGAUGCAGACUAGGUGUUUGGACGGCCACGUGCCGUUCUAGUGCCGCAGGGAAGCUGUUAAGUCUGCCGCCUGGGGAGUACGAUCGCAAGAUUGAAACUUAA